Molecule: ribosomal RNA, 490 nt
Filed under: Fusarium culmorum
Lineage: Eukaryota; Fungi; Ascomycota; Sordariomycetes; Hypocreales; Nectriaceae
Description: eukaryotic LSU rRNA
Rfam family: 5.8S ribosomal RNA (bases 137-290)
Source: RNAcentral
CUCCCAAACCCCUGUGAACAUACCUUAUGUUGCCUCGGCGGAUCAGCCCGCGCCCCGUAAAAAGGGACGGCCCGCCGCAGGAACCUUAAACUCUGUUUUUAGUGGAACUUCUGAGUAUAAAAAACAAAUAAAUCAAAACUUUCAACAACGGAUCUCUUGGUUCUGGCAUCGAUGAAGAACGCAGCAAAAUGCGAUAAGUAAUGUGAAUUGCAGAAUUCAGUGAAUCAUCGAAUCUUUGAACGCACAUUGCGCCCGCCAGUAUUCUGGCGGGCAUGCCUGUUCGAGCGUCAUUUCAACCCUCAAGCCCAGCUUGGUGUUGGGAGCUGCAGUCCUACUGCACUCCCCAAAUACAUUGGCGGUCACGUCGAGCUUCCAUAGCGUAGUAAUUUACAUAUCGUUACUGGUAAUCGUCGCGGCCACGCCGUUAAACCCCAACUUCUGAAUGUUGACCUCGGAUCAGGUAGGAAUACCCGCUGAACUUAAGCAUAUC